UCUUGGCGCUUCUUUCAGUGCCGGUAACCAAAUAAAAUUUGGCUAUAUGCUGGAAUAUCCGAGUAUCCGAGAGUACCGCAAGGUAACAAUCUCUCGGUGCGGCCGCCGUCGCUAAAAGCUAUGGCGAGCCAACGGACAAUCAGCAGGGAAGACUUAGAAAAUGCAAAAUGUAAAUCUCAAAAUGAAAAAUUGUCGUGUCUAGCUCCGUUGGACUCCAUAAUUUUAAUCUCUGACUUUUCCAUUUUUAAUUUCUUUGAACCCUCAGAGACUAUACGCCAAACUAGUCACGAAGCGUGUAGCGCGAAGCGUAUAGCGUAAAAAGAGAAAUCUUCUUGCGUUAUAUGUUACAAGUUAUACGGUUUGCGAUUGGAAGAUAUAGUCCGAACUGCAUGGCGACAUGCAG
RNAcentral lists this non-coding RNA (403 nucleotides) under Parcubacteria group bacterium GW2011_GWC2_48_17. RNAcentral describes it as "self-splicing intron". It matches the Rfam family "Group I catalytic intron". From Rfam's summary of the family: Group I catalytic introns are large self-splicing ribozymes. The record is from RNAcentral.